CCUUGCACGUUCUUUCUCUUCUCUGACAGGGCAGUCUGGCUACUUCACUACUCGAUAAUUUCGUUUUUUUCGAGUUUCUGACAUUUUGUGCUGAAAAUGUUAGUUAUAUAAAGGAUUGGAUUACGGAACGAACCGUGAUCCUUUAACUACUCUUUAAUAGCCUUGAGAUUGAUCUUAUUUGUGAUCAAGUUCACGAAUUGGUCUUAUAUUGUCCAUUUGGAAUUGUUCACCAAAGGAACAAAGAUUGGAAGCCUGGUCCAUGUCGCAAGACAGAUGCUGUAAGAAUUGCCGCAACAAAAAGUAUGGUUUACUUCCUCAUGACUAUGAACCAUAUCCUUGAUGAUGGACUCAGAAGACUGCACAGUUGUUGUGUAUUGUAAAGCUUCUUUCAAAGGCUUCCACCGACUUAUACCGAAGAAGCCAACGGAGACGUGAUGUUGCAAAUGGUUCGUAAUGCUCAAAAGACCAAUUUGAUUUGUUAGCGUAAUUAAAUUGCUUAUUAUUGGGAAAGAAUAUAGCAAAAAAAUGUAUACUUUUGUGGGGAUAAAAAGAGUGGCGUCCAUUCUAUUUAAUGUUGAUCUCGUAAAAUGAAUUAACCACAUCACAAACAAUUUCUUGACUCAACGUGUUAUAUCGUUGUGUCACCAUUUAUAUUUAUAUUUCAGUAGCCCGUGUUUGUAAUAAGGAGUAAAUUUCAAAUCAUGUGCCUUAACUCAUGAUCGUCAUUCCGAAUUGCUUAAUAAUGCACAGAUAAUUCCUUCAACGAAAGACUUUGCACAUUUUCACAAACGAUAUCAUCUGUGAUUAUCCCUAAGGUAAAGGGCUGUAUAAAGCAAUAAUAGCAAUAGGUGAAUAGGA
Daphnia pulicaria is the source of this 858-nucleotide long non-coding RNA. RefSeq lists it as uncharacterized. Lineage: Eukaryota; Metazoa; Arthropoda; Branchiopoda; Diplostraca; Daphniidae. The record is from RefSeq and is a predicted model, not a curated record. The transcript has 4 exons.